RNAcentral lists this ribosomal RNA (301 nucleotides) under uncultured bacterium. Its description in RNAcentral is "partial 16S ribosomal RNA". It matches the Rfam family "Bacterial small subunit ribosomal RNA", at positions 509 to 807 of the family's 1533-position model. The record is from RNAcentral.
CAGCCGCCGCGGGAAUACGAAGGGUGCAAGCGUUAAUCGGAAUUACUGGGCGUAAAGCGUGCGUAGGCGGUUUGUUAAGUCUGCUGUGAAAUCCCCGGGCUCAACCUGGGAAUGGCAAUGGAUACUGGCAAGCUAGAGUGUGUCAGAGGAUGGUGGAAUUCCCGGUGUAGCGGUGAAAUGCGUAGAGAUCGGGAGGAACAUCAGUGGCGGAGGCGGCCAUCUGGGACAACACUGACGCUGAGGCACGAAAGCGUGGGGAGCAAACAGGAUUAGAUACCCGGGUAGUCCCUGUCUCUUAUAC